UGAAGAGUUUGAUCAUGGCUCAGAUUGAACGCUGGCGGCAGGCCUAACACAUGCAAGUCGAACGGUAACAGGAAGCAGCUUGCUGCUUUGCUGACGAGUGGCGGACGGGUGAGUAAUGUCUGGGAAACUGCCUGAUGGAGGGGGAUAACUACUGGAAACGGUGGCUAAUACCGCAUAACGUCGCAAGACCAAAGAGGGGGACCUUCGGGCCUCUUGCCAUCAGAUGUGCCCAGAUGGGAUUAGCUUGUUGGUGAGGUAACGGCUCACCAAGGCGACGAUCCCUAGCUGGUCUGAGAGGAUGACCAGCCACACUGGAACUGAGACACGGUCCAGACUCCUACGGGAGGCAGCAGUGGGGAA
This 360-nucleotide ribosomal RNA is filed under the name Salmonella enterica subsp. enterica serovar Gaminara. RNAcentral describes it as "bacterial SSU rRNA". It matches the Rfam family "Bacterial small subunit ribosomal RNA", at positions 1 to 361 of the family's 1533-position model. The record is from RNAcentral. Lineage: Bacteria; Pseudomonadati; Pseudomonadota; Gammaproteobacteria; Enterobacterales; Enterobacteriaceae.